Molecule: small nuclear RNA, 104 nt
Filed under: Arabidopsis lyrata subsp. lyrata
Lineage: Eukaryota; Viridiplantae; Streptophyta; Magnoliopsida; Brassicales; Brassicaceae
Source: RNAcentral
UUCUUCUUCGGGGACAUGUGAUAAAAUUGGAACAAUACAAAGAAGAUUAGCAUGGCCCUUGCGCAAAGAUGACAUGCAUAAAUCAAGAAAUGGUAUAAAUUUUC